UACGAAGGGGGCGAGCGUUGUUCGGAUUUACUGGGCGUAAAGGGUGCGUAGGCGGCGCGGAAAGUUGGGUGUGAAAUCCCUCGGCUUAACCGAGGAACUGCGCCCAAAACUACCGUGCUUGAGGGAGAUAGAGGUGAGCGGAACUUAGGGUGGAGCGGUGAAAUGCGUUGAUAUCCUAAGGAACACCGGUGGCGAAAGCGGCUCACUGGAUCUCUUCUGACGCUGAGGCACGAAAGCUAGGGUAGCGAACGGG
Molecule: ribosomal RNA, 253 nt
Filed under: uncultured bacterium
Lineage: Bacteria
Description: partial 16S ribosomal RNA
Rfam family: Bacterial small subunit ribosomal RNA
Source: RNAcentral